Molecule: long non-coding RNA, 2998 nt
Organism: Hypomesus transpacificus
Lineage: Eukaryota; Metazoa; Chordata; Actinopteri; Osmeriformes; Osmeridae
Exons: 3
Source: RefSeq, a predicted model, not a curated record
AGAGAUGAGAGGGAGGGAGAGUCAUGAGCAGAACAGUUCUACUGAACCUUUUGGUUUUACAGACCGCAUAGUCUCUUUGCGCAUGAGAUAAUUGUUUAGACGUUUCUGUGAAUCACACGUCCUCUCCAUUUUGGCAAGAUCACGUUUGUUCUGACUAAAUAAAUACCUAAAAGAAACGAGUGAUUCACAAGAUUGGGACCCCAAAACAGUUUGUGGUUUGGAGGCAGCACAGGGCGGCUAGGAAGGGGUGGAGUCUAGGGAGGAGAGAAUCGAGUGCUGGAGAAGGAGGUAGAACUGAAGGGACAGCAGGAGGGAUUUGGCCCCAGAGGGAGCACUUAACUGCAACACUUCACAGUGUAAAAAUACUCAUGACAGUCCUCCUUUGAAGAGGGUGAAACAUGACUGGUCACAUUCUCUGUGUAUGUUUGUAUGUAUGCAUAUAAAGGCAAUCGCAGAAUCCACAAAGCUGACCAUCGUGAGAGAGAGGGAUGGAAUGUUUCCCCUAUCAUACUUCCCUCAAAUUGCCGUCUCUCUGGCCUGUCAGAGGCAAUUAUCUAAGCAAACAGCACCCUGGGAAGUCUGCCUUUCCAGUCAGCUCUGGUGAGUGUUCUCCGUCUUCUCCUGCCCCUGUGCCAUCCCUUACAGAGCUGGAGUCAUCUGCAUGUAGACAGAGGAAAAACAUAAGGAACCACUUCAAGAUGGAACCAUCUUCUCUGAGCUGCGAGGCAACUGCAGAGGAUCCACAUCUGCAGUUGUGACUGACUGGGUCGUCGGAGCAGACCCCCGGAUCGGAUGAGUGACUCCUUCAUCCGUCCACAGCCUUCCACACAGCCUUCAGCUCUCAUUAUUACUCGACCAAAUGGAAAGUUUCAGUAAGAACCUGGUGUGGAUUGUGAGGGGAACUGAAGAAGAGGGACCACCUGUGAGAUCCCCAUGUGUGUACACUGAUUUCAAGAAAACUUCUCCCAAAGUUCACAAUUUGGAAGGAAAAUAAAGAAAUGCAAUAGCAGUAAAAACCACUUCCCUCGGGCUGUUUUGGACUGUAUUUUUAGAGGGUGUGUGUGUGUUCGAAGAGUGCACUGGCCAACCGCCAUCUGUGAGCCUAAGUGGCAAUCUAAAGUGUGUGAGCUCUGGUUACACCACCUUUCUCCCCGCUCCUCCCAGCGCUACAUGACUGGCGUACUCUGGGCUGCUUUGUCUUUGAAGCCUGCGGCGGCGGGAACUUGGAUCUGCCAGUGUCGGCGGUUUAACACUCUUUGAGCACAACGCCACGACAAACCCCUCUGAGGGACAACACCGCAGACUGUAGCUAGGACACCUGAACACCUCAUUAUCACUCCGCUGCUAGGACAACUGUGCCACACACACACACAAGCCAGGCCCAGCACCAGUCAUACUUCAUGACAUCCUCUGCAAACCCUUUCUCAGGCAUUUUGCAAUGUUUUCCAUGUUGGUUUUGAAGUUAUUUUAUCUAAAUCUGUUUUUAGUGUACACAUGUUUAUGAAGCUCUUCCAAGGGACUGAACUCACAGCUCUGAAGUUGCAAGCUCAAUGUGCAUCUAAUAGAACGACUGAGGCCAAUAAACUGCGUCUCCCAGACCUUCCUUGUAGCCCUCUAGGUUCCAUUCAGUCUGAUGUUUUCACUUGAAUGUACUUUCAAAUAAUAAAAUGAUUGAGUGCCCGGACUGCACAUAAAUGUGAACACAGACACAGGGUACACAUGUCAAAAAUCAUUCCACAGUUCAGCUGCAUUCAAUAAUACCAUACCCCCAUUCUUUUGAUCAGUUUCUAAACUAUAAUCAUCUGCCAAAUGUCUUGCCUACAAAAACACAGUCAUAUAGGUUUCAUGAAAAAGCAUUCGCUUUCUGAUAUACAUCCAAAUAUCACUCUACCCCCUAAAAAAUACCCCACCCCACCUUCCUCUCCACCCAUCAAAAACUCUGUGAUUUACAGAAAGUCAAACAAAGACAUAAAGUAGGAGAGUUGUCAGGUUUCCCUAUAAAACAAACUCCUUUCCCCCAAUUUCUUUCGUUCUUCCUUUUUUCUUUUCUUUCUCUUCUUUCUUUCUGGCCUUAGUUUCUUCCUCAGGAGAGGAAGGCAAACUGGGCACAACAACGUGCUACAUUUCACACAUUGACUGCCUGUGUGUGUGACAGGGCUUGUUUGUCUAACCCCUCCGGGUGUUGACUUCCACGUCUGUGCAGAGUGGGGAUCAGCCUUACAUGGCCUGCUUCAGAAACUCGAGAACUGAGGUCUGUUACGCCCGGGCCCUUGGCCAUUGGUGGCCCUCUGUUUUGUUAUAGGGUCAUGUCCUUCAAGGAUUUUAAUUUCAAGACACUGGAUAUUAGAACAUGGGUAUAGGAGGGGUGCAAUAUGUAUUUAAGAAAACUCUACGGUGUACUUGGUUUAUCUGAUGCAGCGCAACCGGAUUAUAACAGAAAAUGUGAACUGUUGGUUCAGUGAUCUAUAUCAAGUUUACCUAAAGGUUCUUAGUCAGUAGUUGGAUUAUGUUGUUGGCCAAUAACAAGUCUUGUCCGCUGAGUUGUGGCUGGCACUUACAAGCUAGCUAACCUUCAGAAACAAAGACUAGCUGAAAAACCUUUUCCAAGAUUCCAAAAUUCCCAAAUUUUCCAAGACCUUGACUCUCUGCACGCACAAAUUCUAUCGGGCAUGAACAUCCAGUUGAGAUGCUUGGCCACUCACAGAAUUAAGACCCCUCCACUGAAUCCCACCAUGAUUUGACCUGACAGGCGCCAGAACCCUGCAGUGCCAGAGUUCCCCUUCACCCCUCAUCCCCAGGCAGAUCAAAGCCUCUGCUCAACUCCCAGCGCCACGGAUCCAAACAAGCAAUAUUUCCUCUUAAGCUAUAUACUAAUUACUCUGUCAUCUUCUCUGCUGUUACAGCGUAACUGGAGAGGCAAAACGAAAGAGAUAUUGUUUUUCUACCUACACAAAUUGGACCUCGAGAGUACCGACAGUUAGACACUUUCAAAGUUUGG